CGCUCUCUGGGAGACCGGAGCAGGAGACAGCGGUGACAGGAGCAGCGGCCGGGAGCCCUUAGGGAGGCAGAGCCUGCAGCCAAUGCCCCAGGAGCCCUCGGUUCCAACCGAUGCCCCAGUGCCCACUGGCCCACGCCAUGCAGCCCCAGUCCGUUCUGCACAGCGGCUACUUCCACCCACUACUUCGGGCCUGGCAGACAGCCACCACCACCCUCAAUGCCUCCAACCUCAUCUACCCCAUCUUUGUCACGACGAGCGGGGUUCCGCAGCUGACUCUGAGGAGUCCCCAGCUAUUGAGGCAAUCCAUCUGUUGAGGAAGACCUUCCCCAACCUCCUGGUGGCCUGUGACGUCUGCCUGUGUCCCUACACCUCCCAUGGUCACUGCGGUGAGUUCCCUUCCUCCCACCAGCCCUGCUGCCACCCACACUCCUACUGCCCACUUCUCACCAGGGUGGGGACAGGCCAGGGCCCAAGGUGCUCCCCAAAACCCAGUCAUCUGUCCUGAAGGGCUCCUGAGUGAAAAUGGAGCAUUCCGGGCUGAGGAGAGCCGCCAGCG
This 556-nucleotide small RNA is filed under the name Pan troglodytes (chimpanzee). RNAcentral's name for it is "retained intron". The record is from RNAcentral. Lineage: Eukaryota; Metazoa; Chordata; Mammalia; Primates; Hominidae.